UCAGUCUUGUGUACGCUGACGUUUAUGUCGGGAAAUCGCGAGAUAAAAAUCUUGUAAGAAAAUGCGCUGGAUAUUUCGUCUUUUUAAUACAAUUUCUCGGCUCAUUAUUUUAUGACAUGCUUUGAAAAUUUCCACAAUAUAGCAUGAAUAUGUCCUUUAAACACUGGCACAAUUGGUUGUUUGUUAUCCGUUUAUUUAAUUCAAAUUAUUCCCCUUGAAUGACACAGUUUCGUUUGAGCAGUUCAUAGGUAGCGCAACCUGUCUCGUAGUGUUCAUUUUCAAUGGCUACUAAACGCUGUAAAUCAAAAUGACAUCGUGCACUGUUACAUGUCUUCAAUCGAAGAGGGUUCGGAAAUGAUAUUUCCACAUGCUUAAAAUAGGUAAGUGAAAGAUAUAUGUGCAUUUUGGCUUUGUGAUUAAUUUUCGCGACUCGCAAGUUUGACCCGGAAGUAAACUGUACGAUAGCAACUGAAUUGUUUACAUGAAAUGGUGGUAGAUUAAAAUUUGACUUCAAAAUAUCAUGUCUCAAUUUAUUAACACCAACACUAUUCCAUGUGAAAUUUCACAAGACCAGGACACUUCGUUUUUAAAUUUAAAUGAUUUAUCGAAUGUAAAUGAACUUUAUUUUGAAACUUCUCACCCCGCUACUCAAGAUUUGUUUGAUGUGGUAGAUGAUUAUGAAAGUGACCUUGAGUCAAACCAUGAUGAGUCUGAUAUUGAUAUUGAUGUUGAAGCUGUCAAAAAAAUACAUCAGAUACUGCGUUUAUUGAAAAGUCUGAACUUGAUGUGGCAGAAGCUGAUAAACAAAACAAAUUUAAGGUUGACUUUUUAGAAAUGUUUAAGCACAAAUUUAAUUAAUUAUUAUUAUAAAAAAAGUGUUAUGUAGAUAAAUAACCAAUAAUUUGAUAUUCUACAGAUUGGAAAGUUAUUUUUCAAGACCCUGAGGAAGUGUGAGGUGUAUGGAAUCAGCUGUGAAGGAUCUGGAAAGCAGGUGUUUUACCUCGCAGACACAGGCCAGUCACAUGGUAAAGGUGCAAAUGCUGUGGUCAGCCAGGUUCACCACUACCUCAACACAUACCGUUUUGGCGAACAGCAUGCUCACUUUCAGUGUGACAACUGUUGCGGCCAAAAUAAAAACAACAUAGUCAUCUGGUACCUUCUGUGGAGAGUUCUUGUAGGUUUACACAGAAUCAUCACACUAAGCUUUAUGUUGAUAAGACAUACAAGGUUUACACUUUGGCAUCUGGAAGUCAAAGUGGAG
Dreissena polymorpha is the source of this 1261-nucleotide long non-coding RNA. RefSeq lists it as uncharacterized. The transcript has 3 exons. The record is from RefSeq and is a predicted model, not a curated record. Lineage: Eukaryota; Metazoa; Mollusca; Bivalvia; Myida; Dreissenidae.